UAAAAUUAUUUUUAAUAGUAUAUUAGAAAUGAAAUGUUAUUCGUUUUUAAAGGUAUCUAGUUCUUUAAGAAAUAAAUUUAAUUUAGAAAUUUUAGAUUAUUUAGUUUAAUUAAUUAAUUAAUUAAUUUUUUAAUUUUAAUAUUUUAUGGGAUAAGCUAUAAAAUAAAUUUUUAAAAAUUUAUAAAUAUAUUAAUAAAUAUAAGCUUAUAAAUAGCUAUUAUUAAUAAAAUUGUUAUAAUUUAUUUUGUAAAUUAUAUUAUUUAUUUUAAUUUUAAUUAUUUAUUAAAGUAUUUAUUUUAAUUAUAAAAAUAAAAAAAUAAUGAUAAAAUUAGUAUAUUUUAUUUAUAUAAAUAAAAAUUGAUGAAAAGUUUUUAUAAAGAAUUCGGCAAAAAUAAUAUUCGCCUGUUUAACAAAAACAUGUCUUUUUGAUUUAUUUUUAAAAAGUCUAACCUGCCCACUGAAAUUAUUUUAAAUGGCCGCAGUAUAUUAACUGUGCAAAGGUAGCAUAAUCAUUAGUCUUUUAAUUGAAGGCUAGAAUGAAUGGUUGGACGAAAUAUUAACUGUUUCAUAUAAAUUUUUAUUAGAAUUUUAUUUUUUAGUUAAAAAGCUAAAAUUUAUUUAAAAGACGAGAAGACCCUAUAAAUCUUUAUAUUUAAAUUAUUAUGAAAAUUAAGAUUUAUUUUAUUAUAAUAAUUAAUAAUAUUUUAUUGGGGUGAUAUUAAAAUUUAAUAAACUUUUAAUUAUUUUUAUCAUUAAUUUAUGAAUUAUUGAUCCUUUCUUAAUGAUUAAAAAAAUAAGUUACUUUAGGGAUAACAGCGUAAUUUUUUUGGAGAGUUCUUAUCAAUAAAAAAGAUUGCGACCUCGAUGUUGGAUUAAGAUAUAUUUUAGGUGUAGUUGCUUAAAUUUUAAGUCUGU
RNAcentral lists this ribosomal RNA (915 nucleotides) under Smidtia sp. 15052001. Its description in RNAcentral is "partial 16S rRNA". Lineage: Eukaryota; Metazoa; Arthropoda; Insecta; Diptera; Tachinidae. The record is from RNAcentral.